This 3229-nucleotide long non-coding RNA is filed under the name Mus musculus (house mouse). RNAcentral's name for it is "long non-coding RNA chr6:45529082-45532311". Lineage: Eukaryota; Metazoa; Chordata; Mammalia; Rodentia; Muridae. The record is from RNAcentral.
UUCUUUGGUUCAAUAUGGUAAUGAAACUGUAUGUAUGAUUUGUAUUAUUAUAGAUGAAAGCACAAUAUGACAAGUUUUCUUUUGGUAUGAAAUUUUUAACAUUGUGUCAUUUUUAUUUCUCAAAUAUAUUUUCUUCUUUCUUUGUUCUUGAACAUCUAUCUCUCCAGAAAAGAAAAAUAACAAUAUAGAUAACAAUAUAUUUUAGAUAUAAAAGCAGAUGGGAAUGAUUUUAUUUUGUAUCUUACAUUUGCCAAUGGAAAUGUUGAAAUGAAAACACACAGAGCAAUUUACAAUACUCCCUUUUCAAAAAGUAUUAGAUACAUUGCAGCCAGGAAAUUCGUGACAAGCCUUACUCUUUUUUUAUUGAAAAUAGAUUCUUCUCUCAUACCAGUCCACAGUUUCCCCUCAUUCCGCUCCUUCUAAUUCUCAGCACUUCUGCUCUCCAGCAGAUCCACCCCUCCUCCGUUUCUCUUCAGAAAGAAAUAGGCCUCUAACAGACAACAACAAAACACCACAAAUGAAUACAAAACAAAACAACAUAAAAUUAGACAAGGCAGAAUGCCUCAUAUCAAGGUUGGACAAGGCAACUCAAUAGAAGGAAAAGAAACCCAAGAGCAGGCAGAAAAAGUGGCAGAAACACACUGGAACCUCUCUGAGGCAUCCCACAAAACACAUCCAUUACAUAUAAGAGGAAGACCUGGUGCAAAUCCAUGCAGGCCCCAGGCUUGCUACUUUGGUUUCUGAGCCCCUAUUUGCCCUGCUAAGUUUAUGCAGAGGGCCAAGUUUUUCUGGUGUCCUUGGUUGCCUCUGAUUCCUACAAUCUUUCCUUUCCCUCUUCAAGGGAUUACCAGAUUUUUAAGGGAAGGAUCCAAUGGAGAACUCCAAUUUAGACUUUCUCUUCAGAUAAGCUUUGGAUGUAGGCCUCUGUACCUACUCUCAUCUGCUGCCAGAGGAAGUCUCUCUAAUGAUGAGGCAUAGAUAGAUGACUGUAUCAGAAAACUAUUAGAAAUUAUUCAUUCAUUUUAUUUUUUUUUUAGCUUGUUGUUGUUUCUUUGUUUGCUUUGCCAGUCAAAUUUUAUUCUACUCUAGGUCUGUGAACUAUCUAGUCUCUAGUCCCUGGCCAUCCAAGCAGUGUUCAGCAUGGACUCUCACUUGUGGACUGGGCCACAAUUUAAACCAGACUUUGGCCACACCCACAAUUUCUGUACUUGUGCUCCAACACAUCUUGCAAGCAGGACAGAUUUUAGAACAAAGGUUUUAUGGUUGGGAUGGUGUAGAGUUGGCCUGCAGAGUACCUUCCCAUAGCAGGGGUGAAGGCUCCAUGCUACCACCAACUCAACCUCUCUAUGUUUAGUGAGCUGUUUGGAUGCUGUCCUCUGCAAUGGGGCCUGCUUUCUGUUUUCCAAGAGGGAGCCUCUGCCCUAGCAUCAGCCUGGGCAUUUUGAGCAUCUUUUUAGCACAUCCUUGGACAAGAUUUUAACCAAAUACCAUGUGGGGCCCACCACCAGAAGGCUUAUCUGGCUACAAAAAUGGCCAAUGGGGUCUUUCUUUUCUGGACUAAUCUAUUUUCUGUUCUGUACACUUCUACCACAUUUAUGUCAUUACCUCCUUUAGAUGAGUAUAAUUUUUUCUAUGAUUUUGUUGGAAAUAUUCUGAGCUGGGAUUCUUCUUCCUCUAUCCCAGUGUUUCCCACCAUAUGAGUGAAAUCUCUGUUGGGAAUUGGAAGACCCUUUGACAGGAGUCACCAACGACCACUGGAAAACAUAUAUAUCCAUUACAAUUCAUAAAAGUAUGGAAAGUACAGUUUGGAAGUAGCAAUGAAACUGAUUUUUUAUGGGUGGAGGUCACCACAACUUGAGAAAUUGUUUGAAAGGGUCUCAUUAUAAACUACAGCUCUGUUCCUAUUAUUCUUAGAUUUGGUCUUUUUAUAUUGUUCUGAAUUUUCUAGCUGUUUUGUGUCAGGAAUGUUUUAGAUUUAACAUUUUCUUUGGCCGAUGUAUCCAUUUCUUUUUAAAAAAAAAAUUAUUAGAUGUUUUCUUUAUUUACAUUUCAAAUGCUAUCCAGAAAGUCCCCUAUACCCUCCCCCUGCCCUGCCCCCCUACCCACCCACUCCCACUUCUUGGCCCUGGAGUUCCCCUGUACUGGGGCAUAUAAAGUUUGGAAGACCAAGGGGCCUCUCUUCCCAAUGAUGGCCAACUAGGCCAUCUUCUGCUACAUAUGCAGCUAGAGACAAGAGCUCUGAGGGUACUGGUUAGUUCAUAGUGUUGUUCCACCUAUAGGGUUCUAUUGCAUCCUCAAUGUCUGGGAUUCUCUCUUCAGUUUCUUGUAUUCUGUUGGUGUAGAUUGCCACUAUAGUUACUGUUCACAAUCCUAAGUUUUCCAUUUCCAGAAUUCCUUUGUGUAUUUUCUUUAUUCUUCUAUUUCCAUUUACAGGUCUUAGGACAAUUUUAUUCAGUUCUUUCUACUGUUUUUUUUUUUUUUAAGGGAUUUAUUCAUUUCCUUUUUAAGGACCUCUAUCAUCUCCAUAGACUUGCUUUUAAGGUUUUUUUUUUUUUUUCCUUCAGGCAUGUUGGAAUAUUAAAGCCUGCUGUGGUAGAUUAGCUGGACUCUGUUGGAGACAUAUUGCCCUGUGUUUAAUUGAUUGUAUUUUUUUUUUAUGCUGGAAUCUAGGUACCUGGUUUGGUGAUGAAUAAAGGUCCAUGUGCUGGUUUCUGGGUUUUUCUUUCUUGGGUGGAUAUUUUGUCCCUUAGUUUCUGUUCUUGCUGUGGAAUAUAAAGAAUUUGUUGGCUGUGUGUUACCUGCAAUACUGGCCUGUUCAGCUGUGUGUUUACUGGGAGGAAUUUCUGUUGAGGCUGGUGGGAGGGGAAGGCAGGAGAGAUCGUCUGUGUGAUACGCAGACAGGGGCAAAAAGAGGCUGUAUACAGCAGGAGUUCUGUUGUAGCACUAGGAAUGUUCCUGAGGAUUGGGUAUGGGGGAACAGAGAAGAGUGGAAGAGGUCUGUAGGCUGCCUAUCUGGUCUUCUGACAGAUGUGGUCUGCGGUUGAGCAGGGAAUAUUUGCAAGGGCUGGGGGCUAGGACAUAUCAAGAAGGGGGGAAGUAGGUGGGGGAUGGUCUAAGGAUCCAUAUGAGUCAGAUAUAGGGAAAAGAGAAGGGUACAGCUGCUAUUAUGUUGUAGCACUCAAGACAACCCUAAGGAUUGGAUCUAGGCAAAGGACUGGGAGAGAGAUAG